CUCUGUGACUCCUACGGGAGGCAGCAGUGGGGAAUAUUGCACAAUGGGCGCAAGCCUGAUGCAGCCAUGCCGCGUGUAUGAAGAAGGCCUUCGGGUUGUAAAGUACUUUCAGCAGUGAGGAAGGCGGAGUCGUUAAUAGCGGCCUCGUUUGACGUUUAGCUGCAGAAGAAGCACCGGCUAACUCCGUGCCAGCAGCCGCGGUAAUACGGAGGGUGCGAGCGUUAAUCGGAAUUACUGGGCGUAAAGCGCAUGCAGGUGGUUUGUUAAGUCAGAUGUGAAAGCCCGGGGCUCAACCUCGGAAUUGCAUUUGAAACUGGCAGACUAGAGUACUGUAGAGGGGGUAGAAUUUCAGGUGUAGCGGUGAAAUGCGUAGAGAUCUGAAGGAAUACCGGUGGCGAAGGCGGCCCCCCUGGACAGAUACUGACACUCAGAUGCGAAAGCGUGGGGAGCAAACAGGAUUAGAUACCCUGGUAG
Molecule: ribosomal RNA, 474 nt
Filed under: uncultured bacterium
Lineage: Bacteria
Description: bacterial SSU rRNA
Rfam family: Bacterial small subunit ribosomal RNA
Source: RNAcentral